Molecule: ribosomal RNA, 279 nt
Filed under: uncultured bacterium
Lineage: Bacteria
Description: partial 16S ribosomal RNA
Rfam family: Bacterial small subunit ribosomal RNA
Source: RNAcentral
UGCCAGCCGCCGCGGUAAUACGGAGGGGGCUUGCGUUGUUCGGAAUCAUUGGGCGUAAAGAGUAUGUAGGCGGCUAUUUAAGUCAGACGUGUAAGCCCACGGCUCAACCGUGGAAUUGCGUUUGAAACUAUUUAGCUUGAGUUCGGGAGAGGGAAGCGGAAUUCCCAGUGUAGCGGUGAAAUGCAUUGAUAUUGGGAAGAACACCGGUGGCGAAGGCGGCUUUCUGGACCGAUACUGACGCUGAGACGCGAAAGCGUGGGGAGCAAACAGGAUUAGAUA